AGGAUCGGAGCUGACGCCACCUCCUGGACAGUGGGCAGUUCGUUGUCACGCGGGACCAAAUUUUGAAUUUGAAAACAGUGGAUAAAUUUAUUGUUUACUACGAUGAUGAUGAUUAUGAUUGUUAUUUAAUGAAAUAAUUAAACUAUGAUUAAGGAUAGAUGUAAUUGAUAAAAUAACUUUUAUCUGAAGACUGAAUUUUAUUAUAAAGUAUGGAUAAAACUUGAUCAGUAAUAACAGUUGUAUUCGUAAAGAGUUCUCGGAGAGAAGUGAAGUUACAUCAGACGGCAGAGAGAUCUCGGACCUUCACUCUCCAACUUCUCCCCACUACUCUCAUGUUCACACUCAUGCUUAUAUGUAUAUAUUCUUAUAUAUCUAUGUUCUUUACUAAAUAUUAUACUUAUACAUUUAUACUUUCUACUAAUUCAAAUUUGGGAUAUAAGCUUACACAUAUACGUUCUUCACUUUAUCCAUUCUACAACUUCUUAUUACUUAUUCUAUUUAUAUGUACUUAGAUACAAUCUUCCAGUUAAAUAUUCUAGGCUAUCAGAGGUGUAUUCCUCCAUAAUUAUUCUAUAUUUAAUUAUUUAGUACGAUUGACAUUACUAUUUAUUGUGAAACAUUAUUAUAAUUAAUAUAAUGCUAUAUUUCUAUAUUUUCUUUAAUUUAUUUAUUAUACGCGUCACUCUUUAUUUAAUAUUAACAGUAAUAGUUAAAUUCUGGUGAGACAUGGUUUUCAUUAGUAAGUAACAUUUAUUAAUUAUAUAUUUUCUUUUCUUACUUGUUGAUAGAAUAUGUAUUUGUUUAUAACCAUAUUGACGGUUAACUUUAGAACAAGGACCUAUUCAUGAUUUUUAUGCGUAUGUUUUGUUUAGGUUUUAAGUAUCGGAUGACAGGAAACGUUCCAAGACCACUCAACCUGUAUUUAUAUUUCUCUGAAUACAAAAUAAAGGUUUAUCUAUCUAUUUAUUUAAACUUUCUUAUAAUAAAAAUAUAUAAUUUAAUGAGUAUGUGCCACGACGAUUUAUCAUUUAAAUUAUUGACUCAAUAUUGUUAAGACGCAAUAAGUGUUGUAAGAAAUUAAUAUAUAAUUUCAAAUGGAAUUCAAAUGCGCGCUUCUUAUAUAUCUCAAGUUUACUAAUUAAUUAACAGGUGGAGGCACCUGAGGCUGUUGAGGACAUAACACCUCCCCCGUUAAUGAAAAUUCGACAUAUCGUUCGUCGAAUUUUUCUCUCAUAUAUACACAUGUAUAUAACGAUAUAUAAUAAUAGCUGAAGCUAAUUCUGAAUGAAAUAUAAAUUCUGCAAGACAAUUACCUAUAUAAAUAAUACCAUUACCGGUUGUUAAAUCGUGGUCGCACAUUUACAUUACAAGUUACAAAAAUAAUCAUUUUUAUGAUUUAAAACUAACAGUAAAUAUUAACUCAGGUUACGCACAAUAUUUAUAUUACACAAGAAUACAUAUUUUUUAAGGGUGAGCAGCACUAACCGGAUGUUCGAAUUUAUUUUUCUAAUUACGUUUGGAAUAAUUACGUCACUUAAAUGAUGAAAACCUUCAAAAAAAAAGUUUAUCUUAAACAUUUUUCGGAAGCUAUAAAAUUUUUGUAAUAAGAAUUGAUCAAUAAAUUCAAAGAAAAGUAAAAUUUAAAAACUCGUUUAGUACGGCCCAGCCUUAUCAUUGAGGUCACGGUGUUUACAUUUUAGCAAGAGUUUAAUCCAGACUAUGAAGUAUUAUACGGAUCAACAAGAUAUAUUAAUUUCAACUUGUUUGUAUGUACGACUUGGUAUGUUAUGGGGUGAAUUAGGUAGCUACAUUUCAUUAUUCCAGGUUUCAGUAAUUUUAUAAGGGUCUAUAUAGUUACGAUCAAGUUCGUUGGUUUUCGCGUCAUUUGCCAAAAAUACCCAAUUUCCUUAAGAAAACUUAUUAGGGUUUACCCGACAGUCACAAUAUUCCUUUGAUUUGAAUGUAGCUCUGUCUGGAUUUUCAGCAGCUUUUUAAUUGUGUUACUUGACUUAUAAUCGGCAGACUAGAAAUUACACAACAAGUAAGAUUGAUUUUCUGAUUCUUUUCGUCAGCCGUUCAGGGUUUUUAGGGUUCUUGUCAGGUUCAUCGUCUGAGGAAUAAACGUCAUUUAACAUCGGUUCAGGAAAAGUAUCAUUAUCAUUAAAAGAAUUGGCAGGGAGGUUGGUUUGAACCGGAUAUAAGAAAACUAGAUAUUUAUGACUACAAACAUUUGUUGCUGAUUCCGGAAUAUUUAAAUAUAAACUAGUUUCACUUCUUUUAGAUAACUUUAAUGUUAGUACUUAAGCAUGCAUUUCUAUAAUGUCUCUUUCAUUUUCACACAUUUCAGGCGAGGACGUCCUCUCUGGCAUCUCAUGCAUGGGGGACUCAAACCCCCACACGACAUCCGAGCUCGGUACAACAACUGCUGGGUGGUCCAACCACCCAAGGGACAGGGCUAAUAAACCCCUCUGAAGAGGGCUGCCACUCAUCCAACAACUCGUCUCCCUGGGAAGAGAGUACUGUCCUCGUUCGAGUCUCGCUUUCCGCCUCAACGUCAGGUCGGCGAGUCGUCGGGAAGGCAUCUCUAUCCUUCAGAUAUGUGCACAACGUGCCAAGGGUGGCCAUAAACUUGCUGUUUACGCCACUAUAUUUGGAGGGGGUUGUCCAACAACCCCAGGGAGUCGAUGCCAUAAUUUUUUUUUCACACUCUCUUUUUUUUUUAUCUUAUUCUGUUUUUAUCCAUGCUAAUACUCAACCUACUAUUUCCUAUGAGUUUAUCCUCAAGAAGCGGUUUCCCAAGCUUUGUGUUCUAAAUCAAUAAUAUAUUAAGUAAUUUUAUGUCAAUGGGGUUUCGAGAGAGCGCAUCAACAUUAGCGUUCAAUCGACCUUCCCUAUAAUUGACUUCAUAUUCAUAUUUCCGUACUUCAGCAACCGAUGUAGGAGUUAAGAUAUAGGAAUUUUUAUUCUAUGAGCUCACACCAAUGAUUUAUGAUCUGUGACUUUCAGGAGUUCAGGGGCAGAGUAGUAGGAAGGUAUUUUCUAAUGUCUUCUGGCUGAGAAUCGCACCGAGGGCAUAAAAAGAAGUGUUUGUUGUCGUGACGAAAAGUUUUGAAAGUGGGGGAACUGGAGAAUAAAUUAAUAUCAACUUAUAAUUAAUAUCAGAAUCUAUCGUGAAUUAAAAUUUCUCCAAAUUAAGUAGUUCAUCACUAUUAAUAGUUAUACACGGUGAGGUAAUAUGCUUGUUGUUGUGAGUUUUUAUGGAAGCGUCAUUUUGAAUAAGUUUUGUUUCAUUUGGUCUUCUGUGUGGGCUGUAUUGUCAGUUUGUUGGUCGUUGUAUGCAUUGAAAUUUUGGUUUGAUGUUGUGUUAUUUUCUCUAACCCAAGUAAACCUAUUUUUGCAGAUUUGUGCGAAAUGACCAGGCUUAGAACAUAUUGAACAAAUUACGUUCAUGGAGUUAUUACAGUCUUUUUGUAAUGUCCUCGUCCUCCACAAGAAAAACAAAUAAUCGAAUUACGGUCAAGUCGUCUUAUAUUGUCAUUGUUAUGUGUCUGAGUUACCCGUACAGUAGCCUGGUUAUUAGUUGAUGAUUCCUGUGGCAGUCUGUUAUUGUUAUGAUUUCUUCUAUCUCCAUAAUGAUUGUUCGCAAAUUUGAUAUGAUUUUGGGAACUACUAAUGGAAUAUUGGCUGGAGUAAGGAUUAUUACUACAGUGGGAAUGUAUUUUAAAAAGUGAAUUUUUUUGUUCCAAUUCUUUUUCUAAUUCUACGGCAAGAUCUACUGCUCGCGACAGAGUAAGAGGUUUUUGACUAGCAGCCCACAAUCCUAACUCUCCCCUAAGACCCCGUACGAAGCUAUCUCGAGCUCCUUCUUGGGUACUAGCUAAUAACCCGGUUCGUAUUUCACCCGAAUGCUUAUCCAUAAUUACUUCUGACGUUCCUUGAACGAUUUCGUUGAUUCUAGUAACGUAAUCUACGAUGGUUUCACCAUCCUUUUAAUAAAUAUUCGAAAGUAACGACUGCCAUUGAGAUAGAGUUCUACUCGGCACUAAAGCUCUUUUAAGAUUUCCCAAAAUCCCUUCAAAUGCUAAUCCCGAUUGAUUUGAAAUAUAUUUGCUGGCUUUACCCAAUAUACGAGAUUUUAUCAACUGAGUUAAAUACAAUUUACCAGAUGGAUGUAUUAGAUUUAAGGUUUGAUUACAAAGUUCAAUAAAAUUAUUAACUGGCAUAUUUUCUCCAUUGAAUACGGGUAUAAGGUUUAUAGCGUCUUUGAUACUCAAAAAUUGGGAAUUACUUGUAUGAACUAGAUUAUUGGUAGCAUAAUUGUGCUCAUUAUUUCCGUAGCCCGCGAGUACCGGUUCAAUUGGUACGCGAUUCGAAUUAUGAACUGGAGUAGCUGGAAUGCUAGGGGUUAUAGAAGGAGAGAUGGUGGAAAAAUUGUCAUUAUUAGUGUUCUGAAUGUCAAUAGAACUAAUCACCACUUCAGUGCUCGCGUCCGAAAUGUGUUCGUCUGUAGUCACUAAAUUAGACAUUUUCGCCUCAAAUCAUGUUAAUGCUUCUAUAGUCUUGAUUCUAUUUGAUUACUAUAUUUAAUAUAUUAAGGAAAUACUAUAUCAAAUUACAGUUGAACUUUUAAUUAUAAUUAUUAAGAUUAUGGAAUUGUAAAUAAUACAAAAUAUUAUAAUGUGUACUUAUUUCGACUGAAACUUAUGUCUGAUAGCAAUUUAAAAGUGUUAAAUAUCAAAUAAUCGUCAAAUUUCAUA
This is a long non-coding RNA of Microplitis demolitor, 4757 nucleotides long. RefSeq lists it as uncharacterized. The transcript has 2 exons. The record is from RefSeq and is a predicted model, not a curated record. Lineage: Eukaryota; Metazoa; Arthropoda; Insecta; Hymenoptera; Braconidae.